This 818-nucleotide ribosomal RNA is filed under the name uncultured Planctomycetota bacterium. Its description in RNAcentral is "bacterial SSU rRNA". It matches the Rfam family "Bacterial small subunit ribosomal RNA", at positions 60 to 898 of the family's 1533-position model. Lineage: Bacteria; Pseudomonadati; Planctomycetota. The record is from RNAcentral.
AGUCGAGCGCUCAUAGCAAUAUGGGAGCGGCGAACGGCGUAGUAAUACGUAGGAACGUACCCUCGGGUCGAGGAUAGCUAUGGGAAACUGUAGGUAAUACUCGAUAACCUCUGCGGAGCAAAGGUGUGAUUCCGCCCGAGGAGCGGCUUACGCGAUAUUAGCUAGUUGGUAGGGUAAUGGCCUACCAAGGCGAAGAUGUCUAGGGGGUGUGAGAGCAUGGCCCCCACGACCGGAACUGAGAUACUGUCCGGACACCUACGGGUGGCUGCAGUCGAGAAUCUUCCGCAAUGGACGAAAGUCUGACGGAGCGACGCCGCGUGCGGGAUGAAGGCCCUUGGGUUGUAAACCGCUGUCAGAGGGGAUGAAAUCUUCGGAGGUACUCCUCCGAAGUUGACAGAGCCUCAAAGGAAGCACGGGCUAAGUACGUGCCAGCAGCCGCGGUAACACGUACUGUGCGAACGUUAUUCGGAAUCACUGGGCUUAAAGGGUGCGUAGGCGGCGAUUCAAGUCAGAUGUGAAAUGCCUGAGCUCAACUGAGGCAUUGCGUUUGAAACUGAAUUGCUAGAGUAUUUCAGGGGUGUGCGGAACUGCCAGUGGAACGGUGAAAUGUGUUGAUAUUGGCAGGAACACCGGAGGCGAAGGCGGCACACUGGGGAAUAACUGACGCUGAGGCACGAAAGCCAAGGGAGCGAACGGGAUUAGAUACCCCGGUAGUCUUGGCCGUAAACGAUGAGUACUGGGCGGGGAGGGGGUUUCCCCUUUCUGCCGUAGCGAAAGCGUUAAGUACUCCGCCUGGGGAGUAUGGUCGCAAGGCUGAA